This 5481-nucleotide long non-coding RNA is filed under the name Daphnia magna. Its description in RNAcentral is "uncharacterized LOC116936552, transcript variant X1". The record is from RNAcentral. Lineage: Eukaryota; Metazoa; Arthropoda; Branchiopoda; Diplostraca; Daphniidae.
CCCGAGUUGCCACACAUUUUUCUCUCUCUUAUUUCAUUUUUUAAAAUAUUUUAUUUUCGCACGCCCUUUAUAAAUCUUAGCUGUUCUUCAAACAACUUUUAUGGACGCCAACAAUUUUUACGUGCAAGUGAUGUCUCCUCCUACUCACGGUCAAACGCACAAACACGCACGCAUACAAUUUUCGAGAAGAAAAAAAAAGGACAAAGUCGCACUGUAUACUUCCAACCCUUCUUCUCGUUCUGAAUAUACGUACCAAACACUUUCUAAGUUUCUACUGUCAGUCGUUUGGAAUUGUGGCACAUUGGCGGCCAUGAUCAUCAUUUUGGUUUAUUUCCUGGAAAUAGUUAUGACCAACCCAAUAAACAACAACACUUUUCAAGAAUAGUUCCCACAUCGACCAUUAACAUAAAAACCUAUGAAAAAGUUUGAAAUGGGUCGGGAUGGACUAUGUCAAAAGUCUUAUGGAUAACAAUUUCACGAUCCCUACUUUAAUCCGGAUGAAAAGAUUUGUACGUACUACUUAUACCUACGCCCAAAUACAAACAAAUUCACCAUCACCGCCACUAUUAUUACAUCCUUGUCCAUUCCCUUGUUAUUUUUAUAUUCUUCUUUUUUUUUUUUUGGCUAUCAAAAAUCCUUUGUUUGGCUUUUGUAGACAGGAGCGCCACCGCCACUUGAUCCGUCUCUUUCUCUCUCCAACUUUUCUUUAUAUAUACACACACAUACGAAACUAUUUUGUUCGCUCUCGCUCCCCCUCUCUCACUCACACAAAGAGAGAGCAGAUGAUCGAUAAUUUAGCCCGAGAAAAGGCGCGUAUAACACACAAGAGAGAGAGAGGGAGCAGGGCCAAUGUCACGCUGCCGACACACCAAAUAGAAGAGAGAAAUUUGUGUAAUGAUAAAGAGAGCCGAGUCUUUAAACAAAUAAAAAAUUGUUUUAACAGAAAAAAGAUCCACUUUUUUUUUGCAAUCAACUUAAUAAGAAAGAAAAAAAAACCUUGACCCGUUUACGUGACGUCAUUCGGCCACAUUUAAACCUCCCCCAAACACACACAAAAUAAACAGCAAACCGAAGAAAAGGAAGAGUCACGUGUUGUGUACGGAAUUUGGAAUGAAUCACUACAAUAAUACGACGCAUCGAAUAGUUCGGCUUAUUUCUGAUUGCUCAUCGUUUUAUUUUCAUAACCAACGUGUGUGGAUGUGAUUCAAAUGUGAGCCAACUCUAGCAGACGACACGUAUGUUGUCACAACGUUUUAUCGUCGUUCACUGCCAUUAGGCGGUGCCAUCUUGUCCGAUACCGGCGUCUAUAUCCAAGUGCAUCCGAGCGUUUUUCGAAAGAUCCAACCUUAACCAACAACUUGUCCAAACACCGACGCAGCGCCCUAACCAUAAAAAGACCGUCAUGGUCGCCACACGACCCUUCCACCUUUGUUUUCAUCUCUUUCAAGACAAAAUCUAUUUUCAACUCGUUUUGGCCACCAAUCGUGGGAUUUCUCAAUUUCUUUUAAAUGAACUUUGUAGGGAAAACGAUUCUUAAUAAAGUUCAUUUAAUACAAUUUGAGUUUUCCUAUGUUAUUGGCGAGAAAAAGCGAAAAAAAAACUUCAACCAUUUUCCCGCUUUUUCUUGGCGCUUCCAAUUCUUGGCGAAGGAAACGCACACAGACCAACAUGCUGUACCGUUGCUUUUAUGGUCUUGUGACCUUGCCCCUAUCGCGCGCAAGCCCGUGUCGUGGUAUUUUUGUAGGCCACACAGCAGCAGUUUGCCUGCAGUAGCCCAGUUGUGGAGGGGGUGGCCUGCGGCGGCCAUAUUGCCUACAUUUUCGUACAGCCAGAAUUUUGAAAUUCAAUAGACGGUAGAAAGAAAAAAUUACAAAAAGAGACAAGAUACAAAAGAACUCCCCGCCCCCCCUCCCAAACUUAUAGUUAUAUCCUGUCUAAAACAAACCAUUUCAAUCGGAAAUCUGACUAUCUUGCAAUAAGGAGGUAUAUGCCUUAUCCUUUUACUCGAGACGUCGCCACGGCGACGACGGCAUGAUUUCCAGAAACGUUACACACGAGCCUCUCUCUCUGUGCCGUCUUUUUAAACUGGAUAAGCAACAACCACCACAGUCCAGAAGAAAUCAAUCAAUAUGUGUAUGCGUAGUAGUAGACAACACAGAUAUUCGACUACUUCACGAACGACAUGAAAGACAGGGGGAGAAAAAAGUGGGUCCCGCAACUCGAUCGUGUGCUUUCAUGAGUUUUGUGUCCCUCAUUUUUGUUGCCCAGCCAGAAUAUUUAUACAAGAGAACCCACCCGUUGAUAUGCGCCAUGCCGGCGGUCCUCUUUCUAAAUGUUGACUAUCUAUCGGAAAACCAAAAAAAAAAACCAAAAAACUUUCACAUUCAUUUUCUAGCUUCGGGCAUUAAGCUGGCGAGAGUUUUGUGGGAUUAUUUUUAGGUAUUGUAUACGUAAGUCUGAUGACCUAGCGCAAAACGAAUUCGCUCCCUAUUCAACGAGGGUUGUCUUUCACUUGUUUCUCAGUUCAAAGAAAGAAAAGAAAACUUUUACUUUCAAUGGCGGUUUAUGUACACCUUUAGAUCCAAAACAUUUAUUUUGGGUUUUUCGUAAAAUAAAGAGAAAGGAAAGAUCCAAAGAUGGCCGUCUUUUUUUUUUUUUUAGAAAACGACCAAAAAUGGGGUGCGAACGUACACAGGGAAGAAGAAAAAAGGGACUUUUUUCGUCUUUUGGCGCCAUGCCCGUCCAGUUUGCUAGACGCCACCACACGAUUUAAAAAAGAAACAAAAAUGGUGGAGAAAGGAAAAAUGGCCAGGAGGCAGGAUACACGAAGACAGUAAAGAGAGAGCCCUGGAUUAGACCGGGAAAUUGCCAAGGGAUCUGACUUCUACUAGCUUAUGUAGGGAAGGAACGGAGGAUGGGCGGAUCUAACAAAAUGGCCACUUGUCAUACAAUCAAAAUACUCGGAAAACCUUCGUUGAUCAAUUAGAAUUCGAAUCGGCUAACUUUUUAUUUUUCCAAAAAAAAAGGAAUCAAUUUCCAAGGAAUGUGGAAAGAUCAACAAAAGAGUUACGAUGUUCAUUUGUUUUGAUCGUUUCAAGAAAAAUAAAAAAAUAGUUUACCUGCGACGAAGGGAAAAAACUUGUGCCAUAGCCAAUUGACCUUGUGCCUUUGUCCGUGAUGUCACACACACACACACACACACACAGGGAUCCUUAUUUCUUUUCUCCUUCAUUCGUCGCCACGUCCUUUAUGUGGCACUGUUCAUCCGUUUCCUGUUUCACCGUCCUUUUCGUCUCUUGGUUUUCUCAGCAUCUCAUUAAAAAACUGGGAGCUCGAGAGAGAAAAGCGUUUUUAUUUGGGGCGCCCCCGCCACGUUUCUGUGUGUGUGUAUACAGGGUUGUGACGUCACGCUUUGCCCAAAGGCUUCUUACCACCCACCGAUCGUUCAAUCUGGGCGCUAAAAACUGUCGAUACGCAUUUCCCCCUUCACCACCCCCACGCAUUUCGAUAGUAGAGCAAACACGCUGCACACAGAAGAAAAAUGGCGGUACAGCCCUGGAGGCUGUAUGACACGGUCGAAAUACCAAGUGGGUUUUUAAAAAAUUACAUUAUUUUGACCGCACAAUACCUCUAUGAUAAACGCAAGAAACAAAACAAACGAUUUGAAAAAUUAUUGUACGCCAAAACUAGGAAGACCGAAAAUAGCCAUUUUAUUUUAUAUUUUUUAACUGUGUGUGUGUGGUUCACGUGGAAAAGCGGUGCAAACAAUGAAAUCUCGUAAACAUAAAAAUCUGCCGGCCUUUUCUAGGACGGACAAGGAAAAGAAGAAAAUCAGGCAACUAAUUGGUGAAAAACGGACAUUUUUCGACGGUUUAACUCCACGUUUUUUUUUUUUAAUGAGACCAAGUUUGAAUGAAAUUUGGAUUGAUUUGAUGGGAUGAUAUGAUCAAAAAGUUUCGGCUCCAUCUCUUGGGAGAUGAGAAACAAAAAGAGAGGGAAAAGUGCAUCCGAUAAACAAAAGAAGAACGUCGAACCCGAAAAAGUUUUGAGCAGUGGGGUCUGUGUCUCUCAUCAAAUUAAGUUUCAUCCGACGAAACAAACACACAAGUUUUGUGUUUCAAACUGUAGAUUCAAUGAAUUUCUUCAACUUCGUUUCUUGUUGAACUAAAUAUGUCACACAAAAAAAAAGUUCGUUUUUUUUUUUACUUGAAAUGGAAAUGAAUAAAGGAAUGUGAAACAAAACAAAAUGUCGGUGAAAAAGAAAGCGGACAGCCCAUCGAAGAAAAUUCGAAGGUUGCUAUGGUAACACUGGUUCAAAGCUAAAGUGAUAAGCUAUGCGUGUAGUGUUUCCUCAGAAUGAAGGCGAAACAGAAAAAAACCCAAAGAGAAGAGAACACACACAUAAAGAAACGUUUAUGUUAAGACACCAUCGAUUUGCCAUGUGUUGCAGACUAGCAGACGAAAACCCACGCAGCAUCCGGUCCCUGGGCGCCCAUGUUUUUUUUUUGGAGGACCAAUUAGCACCUGAGCGGGAGAGUGAUGUUCGUCAAUCCAGGUUGACAUACAUUUUUUUUUUUCUUUUAGCGAUGAGUUAUCCUUUUUUAUUAUUAUUACAAGGGACGGAAACACAAGUAGGGGAAUGAAACAAAAAAUGUAACUGUUUAUAUAUAGGUCUGUGUAGAGUAGAUAGGGAAAUGGCGGCUGGUGACAUUGUAACCCAAUUUCUCUGAUGUAAAAAAUUAUAUUCGCCUAGAAGCGAUGCCCCCCCGCAGCGUAACAACGUUGUCGCAUUCAUCGACUCAUCGGUAGAUAACAUUUAAAUCCUAUUCAAGUUCAGACAUCCUUAUUUGAAAAGAUUAAAAUCUAUUAUCUUGACCAAGAUCAAAGUUCAGAAUUGGAUCCAAUCAAAUUACCAACAGUAACCAAGCAAUUCGAAAUAUUCUAAUUCGAUUUCAAAACGUCUCUCUUUCAAUGCUACAAUGAUCACCAGUUGCAAUGAAAAUUCUCGUCCUGAAAAAAAAGGGGCAACUACAUUCUUUUGUUUUGUUUUUUCUUUAAUGUUUUGUUGUUGGUCGCUCUCUCUCCGUAAAACUCGCCAAUACACUUGACACAGUUGCAGCGAGGACAGACGGUGGCGGCCGGUUACAUGCGCGGGCGGGUGGCCACUUUCAUCCGGUUUCCAGUUGUUGUUGUUGUACUACCUAUACGGGACAACCUAACCCAGUGGCUGCUUACAGUCAAACUCAAACAUCCAUUUUUGUUUUUUGCUAUUUGCACUCAAAAACUUGUCAACAGGAAAAAAAAAAAAGAAACAGUUAUUGGAUGAAAUUUUGUGUUGUUGUUGACACACACACACGAGGCAAUACUAUUUUGCUUUCGUGAAGGCCGACGAACGGCAACGUUGCCCGCGUGAAGCUAACAACAAGGUUAACCCGUUCUUAUUCGUGCGGUUUUCUGGGGUGGGAGGGGGGGCUGUAUAGC